This 497-nucleotide ribosomal RNA is filed under the name uncultured bacterium. RNAcentral's name for it is "partial 16S ribosomal RNA". It matches the Rfam family "Bacterial small subunit ribosomal RNA", at positions 28 to 506 of the family's 1533-position model. The record is from RNAcentral.
GACGAACGCUGGCGGCGUGCCUAAUACAUGCAAGUCGAGCGGACGGAUGGGAGCUUGCUCCCAGACCGUCAGCGGCGGACGGGUGAGUAACACGUGGGCAACCUGCCUGUAAGACUGGGAUAACUCCGGGAAACCGGGGCUAAUACCGGAUAACUCUUUCCCUCACAUGAGGGAAAGCUGAAAGAUGGCAUCUCGCUAUCACUUACAGAUGGGCCCGCGGCGCAUUAGCUAGUUGGGGAGGUAACGGCUCACCAAGGCGACGAUGCGUAGCCGACCGGAGAGGGUGAUCGGCCACACUGGGACUGAGACACGGCCCAGACUCCUACGGGAGGCAGCAGUAGGGAAUCUUCCGCAAUGGACGAAAGUCUGACGGAGCAACGCCGCGGGAGUGAUGAAGGUUUUCGGAUCGUAAAACUCUGUUGUCAGGGAAGAACAAGUACCGGAGUAACUGCCGGUACCUUGACGGUACCUGACCAGAAAGCCACGGCUAACUACGG